GAGUAACACGUGGGACACCUGCCCAGAAGCGGGGGAUAACACCUGGAAACAGAUGCUAAUACCGCAUAACAACUUGGACCGCAUGGUCCGAGUUUGAAAGAUGGCUUCGGCUAUCACUUUUGGAUGGUCCCGCGGCGUAUUAGCUAGAUGGUGAGGUAACGGCUCACCAUGGCAAUGAUACGUAGCCGACCUGAGAGGGUAAUCGGCCACAUUGGGACUGAGACAGGCCCAAAACUAAUACGGGAGGCAGCAGUAGGGAAUCUUCCACAAUGGACGAAAGUCUGAUGGAGCAACGCCGCGUGAGUGAAGAAGGGUUUCGGCUCGUAAAACUCUGUUGUUGAAGAAGAACAUAUCUGAGAGUAACUGUUCAGGUAUUGACGGUAUUUAACCAGAAAGCCACGGCUAACUACGUGCCAGCAGCCGCGGUAAUACGUAGGUGGCAAGCGUUGUCCGGAUUUAUUGGGCGUAAAGCGAGCGCAGGCGGUUUUUUAAGUCUGAUGUGAAAGCCUUCGGCUCAACCGAAGAAGUGCAUCGGAAACUGGGAAACUUGAGUGCAGAAGAGGACAGUGGAACUCCAUGUGUAGCGGUGAAAUGCGUAGAUAUAUGGAAGAACACCAGUGGCGAAGGCGGCUGUCUGGUCUGUAACUGACGCUGAGGCUCGAAAGUAUGGGUAGCAAACAGGAUUAGAUACCCUGGUAGUCCAUACCGUAAACGAUGAAUGCUAAGUGUUGGAGGGUUUCCGCCCUUCAGUGCUGCAGCUAACGCAUUAAGCAUUCCGCCUGGGGAGUACGGCCGCAAGGCUGAAACUCAAAGGAAUUGACGGGGGCCCGCACAAGCGGUGGAGCAUGUGGGUUAAUUCGAAGCUACGCGAAGAACCUUACCAGGUCUUGACAUACUAUGCAAAUCUA
This 908-nucleotide ribosomal RNA is filed under the name Lactiplantibacillus paraplantarum. Its description in RNAcentral is "bacterial SSU rRNA". It matches the Rfam family "Bacterial small subunit ribosomal RNA", at positions 108 to 1000 of the family's 1533-position model. The record is from RNAcentral. Lineage: Bacteria; Bacillati; Bacillota; Bacilli; Lactobacillales; Lactobacillaceae.